UACGGAGGAUGCAAGCGUUAUCCGGAAUGAUUGGGCGUAAAGCGUCCGCAGGUGGCUAUGUAAGUCUGCUGUUAAAGAGUGAGGCUCAACCUCAUAAGAGCAGUGGAAACUACAUGGCUAGAGUGCGUUCGGGGCAGAGGGAAUUCCUGGUGUAGCGGUGAAAUGCGUAGAUAUCGUCAAGAACACCUAUAGCGAAGGCAGCUUACUGGGCUGUAACUGACGCUGAGGCACGAAAGUGUGGGGAUCAAACAGG
This 253-nucleotide ribosomal RNA is filed under the name uncultured bacterium. RNAcentral's name for it is "partial 16S ribosomal RNA". It matches the Rfam family "Bacterial small subunit ribosomal RNA", at positions 524 to 776 of the family's 1533-position model. The record is from RNAcentral.